AGGGGUCAAAUACAUGAACACAACAACGUGUAGCUAUGAAUGGAGAGGGAUGCUUUAAGAAAACACCGAAACGCAGCACUUUGACCUGAACAAACUAGAACAUUCAUCGGUAUGUAAUAAUGUACAUGGUUGUAAACAGGGUUGACGGGGGGGUUCGAUUCCAUUUCAAAUCAGAAAGUUAAAACCAAAUUACAAUUCCAAAUGUUUCCUCAUUAAAAAGCAUUGACGAUUGUUGAAAUUCCAAUUUUUCCUUCCUGAAUUGAAAUGGAAUUUACCCCCAACCUUGGUUGUAAACUAAUAGAUGUCCACUCUGGGCCACCGUAGUAGUGGACAUAAGAGCCUGGAGUUACUACUGACCCCUUGACCUGACCAGGUAGGCAUAUUUAACAGCUGUUUGGCUGUUGUUUGGCAGACCAGGUUCAUUCAUAUACCAAAUCAAUUCCUUUCCUUUUUAAGACAACACUGACCGGUGUCUAAGAGCAUUGGGCUUAAUAUAAAGGAGACUGGGGCUGCAUGGGAGAUAUCUCAAUCCACUACACUGGCUUCCUUCUUUCAUCUCCUUUCCUUCAUGAUAGGUGAGAGAGGCUUUCACCAUAUGUUGCUUCCACCUGCCAGAUCAGAGAUCACGAAGGAGAAGUACAAUGAAAGGAAGCACGCUUACACUAUUGAGACAGCCCAGGUCCUGUAUCUAGAUUGGGGAAGUAACCUAUUAUACUCACUACUUAAAUAAACACAUUUUUAAAAAAGAAUUUGCAAGGCACAGUGAAAUUUACAACUGGUAAACAUCAGUUACCUAGACAUCAUUAAAUCCAGUAGGUUUCUAGUAAUAUGGCCUAACGACAGAUUCUAAUUUGGUCCAAAAGGAUAGACAAGUUUGAGUGCAUUUGCAGCAAACAGAUGACAUAUCUUAACCUUUAGACAGUACCAGGUCAUAUCUUAACCUUUAGACAGUACCAGGUCAUAUCUUAACCUUUAGACAGUACCAGGUCAUAUCUUAACCUUUAGGUAGUACCAGGUCAUAUCUUAACCUUUAGGUAGUACCAGGUCAUAUCUUAACCUUUAGACAGUACCAGGUCAUAUCUUAACCUUUAGACAGUACCAGGUCAUAUCUUAACCUUUAGACAGUACCAGGUCAUCUCUUAACCUUUAGACAGUACCAGGUCAUAUCUUAACCUUUAGACAGUACCAGGUCAUAUCUUAACCUUUAGACAGUACCAGGUCAUAUCUUAACCUUUAGACAGUACCAGGUCAUGUCUUAACCUUUAGACAGUACCAGGUCAUCUCCAUUGGCAAUCCAAUUGUGAAAGAUCUGUAUUUCUUGACCGGAGUGUUGAGGGUUAAUUGAUAAUCCCGGAUGUUGUUUGGAGUAAAAGGGUGAACGUGAGUUGAUGUACAAAUUGGUGAUCUUUCCAAGACCACUGGUAUAGAGAAAUAUACAUUACCAUUGUUAUCGUCAUAACUAAACUGAAAUGUGUUGCUUUAAAAAAAAACUAAAUUACAUAUUUAAGUAAUAUGCAAUAAUACCAAAACAUCAACCAUGUACUUUUCAAUUCAUAAUGAAACUCACAGAAGAUACCACUUCACAUGUUUCAGCAUUUAAAAGCAAAACAUGUAGAAUAGUAUAAUAGUCCCAUCAUACAAAGACUAACAUUAAGCUGAGACAAAAACCUGCUGAACAAAACAUGAAGCACUGACAGACAGAGAGAACAUGAAGCACUGAGAGAGAGAGAACAUGAAGCACUGACAGACAGAGAGAACAUGAAGCACUGACAGAGAGAGAGAACAUGAAGCACUGAGAGACAGAGAGAACAUGAAGCACAGAGAGAGAGAGAGAACAUGAAGCACUGACAGACAGAGAGAACAUGAAGCACUGAGAGAGAGAACAUGAAGCACUGACAGACAGAGAGAACAUGAAGCACUGAGAGACAGAGAGAACAUGAAGCACUGAGAGACAGAGAGAACAUGAAGCACUGAGAGACAGAGAGAACAUGAAGCACUGAGAGACAGAGAGAACAUGAAGCACUGACAGAGAACAUGAAGCACAGAGACAGAGAGAACAUGAAGCACUGACAGAGAGAGAGAACAUGAAGCACUGACAGAGAGAACAUGAAGCACUGACAGAGAGAGAGAACAUGAAGCACUGACAGAGAGAGGGAACAUGAAGCACUGACAGACAGAGAGAACAUGAAGCACUGAGAGAGAGAACAUGAAGCACUGAGAGAGAGAGAGAACAUGAAGCACUGAGAGAGAGAGAGAACAUGAAGCACUGAGAGAGAGAGAGAACAUGAAGCACUGACAGACAGAGAGAACAUGAAGCACUGACAGACAGAGAGAACAUGAAGCACUGACAGAGAGAGGGAACAUGAAGCACUGAGAGAGAGAGAGAACAUGAAGCACUGACAGACAGAGAGAACAUGAAGCACUGACAGAGAGAGAGAACAUGAAGCACUGAGAGAGAACAUGAAGCACAGAGAGAGAGAGAGAACAUGAAGCACUGACAGACAGAGAGAACAUGAAGCACUGACAGAGAGAACAUGAAGCACUGACAGAGAGAACAUGAAGCACUGACAGAGAGAACAUGAAGCACAGAGAGACAGAGAGAACAUGAAGCACAGAGAGACAGAGAGAACAUGAAGCACUGAGAGACAGAGAGAACAUGAAGCACUGAGAGACAGAGAGAACAUGAAGCACUGAGAGACAGAGAGAACAUGAAGCACAGAGAGACAGAGAGAACAUGAAGCACAGAGAGACAGAGAGAACAUGAAGCACUGACAGAGAGAACAUGAAGCACUGACAGAGAGAACAUGAAGCACUGACAGAGAGAGAGAACAUGAAGCACUGAGAGACAGAGAGAACAUGAAGCACUGAGAGACAGAGAGAACAUGAAGCACUGAGAGAGAGAGAGAACAUGAAGCACUGACAGAGAGAAC
This is a long non-coding RNA of Oncorhynchus tshawytscha (Chinook salmon), 2930 nucleotides long. Lineage: Eukaryota; Metazoa; Chordata; Actinopteri; Salmoniformes; Salmonidae. The record is from Ensembl.